Molecule: small nucleolar RNA, 99 nt
Organism: Jaculus jaculus (lesser Egyptian jerboa)
Lineage: Eukaryota; Metazoa; Chordata; Mammalia; Rodentia; Dipodidae
Product: small nucleolar RNA U13
Exons: 1
Source: RefSeq, a predicted model, not a curated record
AUUAUUUGUUCAUAAGUGUAAUGAUUGGGUGUCCAUGUGUUUGUGUAACAUGUGCCUCCCACAAACCUUGUUAUGACUUGGCAAGUUACCCAUCUGAUG